CCUACGGGAGGCAGCAGUGGGGGAUAUUGCACAAUGGGGGGAACCCUGAUGCAGCGACGCCGCGUGGGUGAAGGAGUGCUUCGGCAUGUAAAGCCCUAUCGGCAGGGACGAAGCAAGACGGUACCUGACUAAGAAGCCCCGGCUAACUACGUGCCAGCAGCCGCGGUAAUACGUAGGGGGCGAGCGUUAUCCGGAUUCACUGGGUGUAAAGGGAGCGUAGACGGCCGUGCAAGCCAGGGGUGAAAGCCCGGGGCCCAACCCCGGGACUGCUUUUGGAACUGCACGGCUGGAGUGCGGGAGGGGCAGGUGGAAUUCCGGGUGUAGCGGUGAAAUGCGUAGAUAUCAGGAGGAACACCAGCGGCGAAGGCGGCCUACUGGACCGCGACUGACGUUGAGGCUCGAAAGCGUGGGGAGCAAACAGGAUUAGAUACCCGUGUAGUC
Molecule: ribosomal RNA, 441 nt
Filed under: uncultured bacterium
Lineage: Bacteria
Description: partial 16S ribosomal RNA
Rfam family: Bacterial small subunit ribosomal RNA
Source: RNAcentral